Molecule: small RNA, 485 nt
Filed under: Pan troglodytes (chimpanzee)
Lineage: Eukaryota; Metazoa; Chordata; Mammalia; Primates; Hominidae
Description: processed transcript
Source: RNAcentral
GGGCUUCAGAGUUGCAAGGAAGCUGAUGGCAAGGGGAGCUACUGGACACAGACCUCGUCCUGGUCUCCAGGUCACCCGCAGGGUAGGUGACCAGAGCCAGAGAAGCGGUUUAUUCCCGGGGCUCCGCACUGCACCCACGCGCCCGCGCCUGUGUUUGACUGCAGGAGGAUUCUCGGGAGGUGUCCCUUCCUGCCAGCCAGGCCUCACCCCUGGCCAGGCGGCACUCCAGGGUCCGGCCCAAGGUGACUGUCCUGAACUAUGCCUCCCCAAUAACCACAGUCAGCCGGCCACUGAAUGAGAUGGUCUUGACCCCACUGACAGAGCAGGAGGGGGAAGCCUACCUGGAGAAGUGUGGCAGCGUGCGGCGGCACACGGUGGCCAAUGCCCACUCGGACAUCCAGCUGCUGGCCAUGGCCACCAUGAUGCACUCGGGCCUGGGGGAGGAGGCCAGCAGUGAGAACAAGUGCCUGCUCCUGCCACCCAGC